AAUCCAUAAGCUGUACUUUGGAAAUUUAUAUUCAUUAAAUAAAAGUUUAAAAAAAAUUAAUUAACAUUUGAGUCUUAGUUAAUUGUGUGAACACUGGUCUUGGGAUAUCAGAUAAUUUAAAAAGGAAAACAUGUAACCACUGCCUACACAUACAUUUUUUAACAGUUGUUUUAAUCAUGCUGCUAGCAGAUGGACUAUGAUUUGUUACAGAGUUCUGCCUUAUAUCCAGAUUUCCCCUUUGACCUAUUUCUGGUGCUUUUUGGAAUUAACUGUAUAUUUACUUCUCUUGGCAAAUAUGUGAACAGACAAAACUUGUAUCAGUAAGUAACAUUGUUACCCACUAACUCCUUGUUGGUCACUCUUGCUUGUAGGGCAGUGAAAAUAGAAUAAAGGACAUUUUAGGUAGAAAUGGGUGGAAACUGAGCUGGGACAUUUUCAAUAUCUUUCUGAACUUUCUUCAUGAUUUUAUCCCAGGGACUUUACUGUGUGAACACGUUUGACAGAGGGUCUGGAAGUUCAAAAGCUCUCAUGUAAAAACUCCUAACUGAAGAAGGAAUAAAUCAAUGAGGAAGCUGAAGUCCUGACUGUGUUUCUUUAUUCAAAGUUCCUUCAGUCUCAGCUUCUUCACCUGUAACAUGGUGUUAGUCUCUGUUGAGGAUUUGAUGAGGUGAUGCAUAGAAAGGGCUCACCUGGCACAGUAACCAAAAUAAUGAAUUAAAAGAAACAAAACCAAACCACAAAGAACAGAUAAUUCACAAAAGUAACAGCUAGUCCGUGUGUGUGUGUAAACUAUAAACAAAACCUGGGUGGCACCAUGGCUCACUAGGCUAAUCCUCCACCUGCAGCGCUGGCACCCCAGGUUCUAGUCCCAGUCGGGGUGCCCGAUUCUGUCCCAGUUGCUCCUCUUCCAGUCCAGCUCUCUGCUGUGGCCCGGGAGGGCAAUGGAGGAUGGCCCAAGUGCUUGGGCCCUACACCCGCAUGGGAGACCAGGGGAAAGCACGUGGCUCCUGGCUUCGGAUCAGUGCGGUGUGCCGGGUGGCCAGCUGCAGCGGUCAUUGAGGGGUGAACCAAUGGUAAAGGAAAACCUUUCUCUCUGUCUCUCUCUCACUGUCCACUCUGCCUGUCCAAAAAAAAUCUAUAUGUGUAUAUAUAUAUAUAUAUACAUACAUACAUAUAUACAUAUAUACCUAAACAAAACCGAAAUUAAAACAGCCACCAGUUAAUACCAUGUGGCUGUUAAAUUAGCAGACAUUUAUGAAUUGAGUGUACUCACUGCUGGCUACUUUAGACUAACUGGGGAUUCUCAUCAUAGGUUGAGAGGAGUAUUAGUUGACAUGCUUCACAAAAUUGUCAGUGUGCAGUAAAGGCAUUAAAAAUCUUCCUACGCUUGUACCAGAUCACAUCACAAGGAUGUAUUUAGACAUUGUAUUUUGGGAGAGACAUUGGCAAGCAGGACAGGACCAAGAAGAGUGUGCCUAAGGUGGUUCUGGUUAUGGAUUCUUGUUAGGGAAAAGGUGAAUCAUGUGGGUUAUAGCCAAGUAUUGAGUAGGAGAGGUAGGGAGAUAGCUUUAGUAUUCAAAAAGCUGCUUGAGUGAGAGAUACUGUUGGUUGCAUAAGGGGAAAAAUGAGUCAGAUUCAAAAUGUUUCCAGCCGGUGCCGUGGCUCAACAGAUAAUCCUCCUCCUUGCGGUGCUGGCACACCAGGUUCUAGUCCCGGUUGGGGUGCCAGAUUCUGUCCUGGUUGCCCCUUUUCCAGGCCAGCCCUCUGCUAUGGCCUGGGAGUGCAGUGGAGGAUGGCCCAAGUCCUUGGGCCCUGCACCCCAUGGGAGACCAGGAGAAGCACCUGGCUCCUGCCAUUGGAUCAGUGCGAUGCUCCGGCCAUGGCGGCCAUUGGAGGGUGAACCAAUGGCAAAAAGGAAGAGCUUUCUCUCUGUCUCUCUCUCACUGUCCACUCUGCCUGUCCAAAAAAAAAAAAAUAUUGUUUCCUAGUUUAAGUCGAUGUUUGCCUGGAGAAAUGGAGGCCAUCUUACUAUGGUUUUACAUUGUGAUGUCAUUGGUUUCUUCAAAGUUCUGUAAGUUGUCUUGGCAACUUCCAAGUACACAGUUUCUCAGAGACAUCUUAGGAUGGGGUAAUCAUUCACCUCUUCCAGGAGACAUUGUGGCUAAGAGUGCUGCAUCCAGACUGCUCCCAGCUGAGUCUUGUGCCCCAGUUUUCUCGUGCGUCAAAAAGGGAACACAAUCAACCUCCUACACUUGUGGCUUUGGACUGGUGUCCUCUAAGCUCUUCCGGCGCUGUCAGGUGGUGGCCCUGUGGGCAUCCUGCUAGCUCUGGUUGAGUUGUUCCAUCAAGUUCAAGGUCACAGGGCCUGUGCUGUGGCUCGCUGAAGUGCCUCCUACAGACUGCAGUGACAAUGACCUUCUUCAGGCCUUUUGAGGGGGUUGCUUUGCAUUGCCGGUCUGUGGCUCACCAGAGGGCUGACGUCUCCAGAGCUGCUCCCCUAAACUCAAGGGCUGCAAAGUCUGAGUCUCCUGAAAAGUGAGACCCCACAUUCUUGGAAGAAGUCCUGGAGCAAUGGGGGUUCCAGUGGCCUAUGGGCUCUGCUGUUGGCUGCAGACGAGGCUGCUCUUGUGUGACAGCAGGACAUGGGGAGCCCUUCUCUGUGUUGAAAGAACCACCUAUAAAUAAAGAAAAUGUUCGUCUUGGCAGUGAACUGGGAGAUACCAGAACAGUAUGGCAUCACCAAGAAAUCCCACCUGCAUUAAAGAAAGUCACCAAGAGGAAGAGCAUGUGCUGAGCAGUGAGAUGUUGUUGAUGGGGAGAGAAGUCCAGCAGGCACGGGGCUUGUGCUAUCAGGAGGCAUCUAUCACACAGUUCAAGCAAACUUGGCAACUCCGUGGAAUCCACUGAACGCAAGGCCUUCAUGCUAGUGGGGAAGGAAGGUGGCAGGAGCAUUUGCCACUCAAAAGGCAAAGGUGCUCAGGACCUGUGAAAUGCAUGCACCUACCCUCCUGGACUCUCCACCUAUGGGUCACACUGGCCAGCAGGUGGAGCUGCUGGUUCACCUCCUUGUCAGAGUCCGUGUAACCUGGGAAGGCCAGCUGGACAGGAGUUAGAAUCCUGUUUGAGUCAGGUCUUGAGCCAUUCUCUCCACAUGUUAUGAUCAAGCACCCAGUCUUCUAGUCGGCACUGUCCCCGGCUAAGCUUUGUCUAUAUAUGCUUUGACCUGUGCAGAGCAACCCUUACUUGCGCAUGCUCAGACUUGCUUAAUGGAGACUCCCUGGCAGAAGUCUUGUGUCAUGCAGAGAGUGAUAGGGGAGUGUGGGUGCAGUUUGUUGGAAAGAUUGCGUGAGUCUCAAACGAGGUUUUAUUUGAAGGCAUAAUUGAACCCUUUAUUUUCUUCCCUCUCCAUUCAAGGAGAAAUAUCCCAUUUGUAGAAACACCUCAUUUGGGUGUCAGAGCCUCGGGCUAGGUCGCUCUCCGUAAGUACAAGGUAAAGGAGCACUUAGGCACAGAACACUUCUACAAGUCACUUAUUCAGUUGUUAACAGGCACUGAAGAAGGAUUAGGACUACAAGACAAACAGAAACCCAUUCUAGGACUACAAGACAAACAGAAACCAUUCCUGCCUUCACCUUCAAUGUAGAGGAUCAUGAGGAAGCAAGGUAAGUGGGAAGUCACAUGUAACUGACAUGCUGAAAUACAAGUGUCACUCACGUUCAUGGGAAAUGGAGCUGAAAGCUACAUUUAUUUUAGUGGAAAAAAAUCAAAAUCCAUGCAUAUGUUUUUGCAUUUUUCAUGAACAUUUUAGAAACAGCUAGUAUGGCACCCCUGAGUUACUAGGGGGUGGGGAUAUGUUAGGAUGUGCUUGUAUGAAAGAAGGAAAUGGAAAUGAAAACUUGACCUUGACCAAAUCAUGAAAUGAAUUUGAGCAUCACCUGUAUAACAUCAGGAAGAUCCUGAAUGACAGACCUGCAUUUCGGGUGAGAGUUUGAGACUUCCUGUCCCUAACCUGCACCCACUCUCCUCUCUCCCUCCCUUACACACAGUGAAACAAUCUCCUCCAGUAAUUCUCCAUUAAUCCCCGGGGUGGGUUUGGGGGGAGACAAGGCUCAGAGGUUCUGAUUUCUUUUCUGCCUUGCUGUAUUGUGGGGCAGGGGCUACACUAACAGAAUGCAAGGAUUCCCAUCAGCUAGUCACACAUCCAGUUGUUUAUAGCUGAUUCUGGAAACAUGCUAUAAAACAGAUUGACUUUGCUCCAGACUGUGGGCCCUUCUAUAAGAAGCUGUUAGCCUGAUAAAGGGUAGAUAACACACUUUACUCAAUUCCACAUGAGCUUCUUCCUGUCCUCCCUGUCCUCUUCUGGGAUGAAUUGGAAGCAAAACAUGUUUGAAUCAUGCACCUGCUUUCACUAAUCUUUCUUUAGAGGGAACUUGGAGUUUGCUGUUCCUGCCACCUGCAAUGCUCCCCUCCCUUCUUUCACUUCUCUGCCCAUGGGUCACCUCUUUUCUUACCACUUUUCUUAAAAUGCCACUGCUUUUCCUCCACCCCUUCAUCUUGGCUUGUUCUUGUGCAUUCUCACACAAGAGUAGCAGGGCCCCAAGUGGUUUUGUUUUCCACAGUGUCCACAAAUGUCCUGGCAAAAUGUCAUGUGUCCCCCAAUGUACAGGCAUAAUCAUCUGCCCAGUGAAGGGGGGGUGGGGCAGUUGCUUUGGUAUUCUGACAGCUCCUCCCACAGCCUCAGGGUGGACAAGCAGUCAGUGUUCUAAAUCUGCUACCCUCCCUAGUGAGGGAGGGAGGGAAGAAGGAAGGGAGGGAGGAAGGGUAUGGGUCUGGUUGAGGGCUAGACUGUACAACAGGUGGAGCAGGAGCAUCAUGAAAGCAGUUUCUGCUCCUCUGUCCCCAAUGCCUUGGUGCUCUGGGCAGAACUUGAGUCACCUUGCAGAGACUUCAGUCGUAAGUGGGGACACACACUUUCAAUGCUCAUAGGAAGAUAGGAAUGGGUAGUGAUGGCACAUUAUGGGUACAGAGGACUUGAGGCAAACAGAAGUUUGACUGCAAGCUGGUGGGCUUACCAUGGUGUGGCUGCGUGGCUGGUCAGUCUUGAGUGUGGGGUGUAAUCUCACCCACAGCAGCAACCCCUGAGACCCGGCCUCCUUCAUCCUCUUGCACAGACACAGGGAGACAGAUAGAUCUUCCAUCUGCUGCUUCACUCUCCAAGUGGCCACAAAGACCAGGGCUGGUCCAAGCUGAGGCCAGGAGCCUGGAACUCCAUCUGGGUCUUCCACAUGAGCACAGGGGCCAUCUUCUGCUCUUUUCCAGGUGCAUCAACAGGGAGCUGGGUCAGAAGCAGAGCAGCCGGGACUCAAACUGAAGCUCAUACAGGAUGCUGGCAUGGCAGUUGGCAGCUUAACCCCUGGACCACAAAGUUAGCCACAAAGCUGAUAUUUUUUUAAGAUAUAUUUAUUUAUUUGAAAGGAAGAGUUACAGAGAGGCAGAGGCAGAGAGCGAGAAAGAAAAAGAGAGAGAGAGAGAGAGAGAGAGAGAGAGUUUUCCAUCCACCAGUUCACUCCCCAAAUAGCUGCAAUGGCCAGAGCUGGACCAAUCCAAAGCCAGGGGCCAGAAGCUUCUUCCAGGUCUCCCACAUGGGUGCAGGGGCCCAAGGAUUUGGGCCAUCUUCUACUGCUAUCCCAGGCCAUAGCAGAAAGCUGGAUUGGAAGAGGAGUGGCCGGGACUAAAAUCAGCACCCAUAUGGGAUGCCGGAGCUUCAGGCCAGGGCUUUAACCCGUUGCGCCACAGUGCUGGCCCUUUCCAGAUUCUUUACUGAGUGAAACUAUUCAAAAAUAUGAGGUUACUAAGGGCAAGCUUUAUGGCACAGCAGAUUAAGUGGCUGCCUGGGAUGCUUUCACCAACCUGCCUGCUUCUGCCACUGCUACCGCUACUGCUGCUCAGGGAAGCAUGAGAUGACGGUUCAAGUACUUGGUCCCCUGAUCUCUGCAAGGGAGACCUAAAUUGUAUCCUGUGCUCCUGGCUUUGGCCGGGCCCUACCUGACUGCUAUGUGCAUUUGAGGAGUGAAUCAAUUUACGGAAGAUCUGUCUGUCUGCCUU
Non-coding RNA from Oryctolagus cuniculus (rabbit), 6105 nucleotides. The record is from RefSeq and is a predicted model, not a curated record. NCBI's taxonomy places the organism in Eukaryota, Metazoa, Chordata, Mammalia, Lagomorpha, Leporidae.